AAAUGAACACUCUGAAACAUUGUAAAACAUGGAGAGUUUAAAUUUUAAACCAUUUUAACAUUCUCGAGGUAUACACUACGCCCAGUUUAUUUGCCCCUGCUUAGCUUAGUCAUCACAACCAGAAAAAAUCGCAGCGUGCUUCAUCAGACCAUUUUCAUUAAGUUUUGAUUGCUCUCAUCGUAAUUACGAAAAAAUCUACUUUAGUUGGUUAGCUUUAGCACAUUGACCAAUGUUCCAAGGAAUAAAAAGGAAAAUGGCCAACAACACUUAGCAGAACCGGAACCUAGACGGACAGAUACCAGCUCAAAACGACACGCUUCGGAAGGACAACAGUGCAAUUUUUCGACGUGAUGAAGAUUAAGAAUUGUUCCGCUCCGGCGGCGGUGGAUUCCGUAACGGCCGUGGGACUGGCAGCGGGAUCCAAGAAGGGAUCCGGUCAUGGCCAUGACGAGGUCGACGACGGGGAAAACAAAGAUCAUAAUGCGGCGGAAUCGAGAGCCGAGGAAUUUGUGACCGUUGCCAGGUGUCGGACUCGGAGCAAAUAGACAAGCAGCGUCACGAAAACGGCCAGAACCAUGUUUCGGUGAUGGUAGAAUAUCGCCCAGGCGCAAGAUUACGGAGAAAGAUCGCCGCGAAUAUGCAUUAUUUGUUCAAAUAGAUCCGAGAAUAAAGUAAAUCAAAUUGAAUUUGUUUCUUUUUUUGUAAUA
This is a long non-coding RNA of Aedes albopictus (Asian tiger mosquito), 707 nucleotides long. RefSeq lists it as uncharacterized. The transcript has 3 exons. NCBI's taxonomy places the organism in Eukaryota, Metazoa, Arthropoda, Insecta, Diptera, Culicidae. The record is from RefSeq and is a predicted model, not a curated record.